UUCGGCCAUAUCACGUCGAACCACCGGUACCCAUACGAUCAUUGAAGUUAAGCAACGUUGAACCUGGGCAGUAUUUAGAUGGCUGACCACUUGCAAAUACAAGAUGCUGUA
Acanthosepion pharaonis is the source of this 111-nucleotide non-coding RNA. NCBI's taxonomy places the organism in Eukaryota, Metazoa, Mollusca, Cephalopoda, Sepiida, Sepiidae. The record is from the annotation of a GenBank genome assembly.